Molecule: ribosomal RNA, 253 nt
Filed under: uncultured bacterium
Lineage: Bacteria
Description: partial 16S ribosomal RNA
Rfam family: Bacterial small subunit ribosomal RNA
Source: RNAcentral
UACGAAGGUCCCAAGCGUUGUUCGGAAUCACUGGGCGUAAAGGGAGCGUAGGCGGCGCGGUAAGUCGGAUGUGAAAUCCCGGGGCUCAACCCCGGAACUGCAUCUGAUACUGCCGUGCUAGAGUAAUGGAGGGGUAGCUGGAAUUCUCGGUGUAGCAGUGAAAUGCGUAGAUAUCGAGAGGAACACUCGUGGCGAAAGCGAGCUACUGGACAUUUACUGACGCUGAGGCUCGAAGGCUAGGGGAGCGAAAGGG